Molecule: non-coding RNA, 75 nt
Organism: Podarcis lilfordi (Lilford's wall lizard)
Lineage: Eukaryota; Metazoa; Chordata; Lepidosauria; Squamata; Lacertidae
Source: the annotation of a GenBank genome assembly
UUGGGAUAGCUCAGUCGGUAGAGUAUGAGUUUCUGAAUCUCAGGGCUGUGGGUUCGAACUCCACAUUGGGCAAAA